This 266-nucleotide ribosomal RNA is filed under the name uncultured bacterium. RNAcentral's name for it is "partial 16S ribosomal RNA". It matches the Rfam family "Bacterial small subunit ribosomal RNA", at positions 572 to 836 of the family's 1533-position model. The record is from RNAcentral.
CAGGCCGGUUUGUUAAGUCAGAUGUGAAAUCCCCGAGCUUAACUUGCUUUUUGCAUUUGAAACUGGCAAGCUAGAGUCUUGUAGAGGGGGGUAGAAUUCCAGGUGUAGCGGUGAAAUGCGUAGAGAUCUGGAGGAAUACCGGUGGCGAAGGCGGCCCCCUGGACAAAGACUGACGCUCAGGUGCGAAAGAUUGGGGAGCAAACAGGAUUAGAUACCCUGGUAGUCCACGCUGUAAACGAUGUCGACUUGGAGGUUGUGCCCUUGAG